GUGGGGAAUCUUGCGCAAUGGGCGAAAGCCUGACGCAGCAAUGCCGCGUGAAUGAUGAAGGUCUUAGGAUUGUAAAAUUCUUUCACCGGGGACGAUAAUGACGGUACCCGGAGAAGAAGCCCCGGCUAACUUCGUGCCAGCAGCCGCGGUAAUGAGAGGGGGGCUAGCGUUGCUCGGAAUUACUGGGCGUAAAGGGCGCGUAGGCGGACAGUUUAGUCAGAGGUGAAAGCCCAGGGCUCAACCGUGGAAGUGCCUUUGAUACUGGCUGGCUUGAGUACGGGAGGGGUGAGUGGAACUCCGGGUGGAGAGGUGAAAUUCGUAGAGAUUCGGAAGAACACCAGUGGCGAAGGCGACUUACUGGCCCGUUACUGACGCUGAGGCGCGAAAGCGUGGGGAGCAAACAGGAUUAGAUACCCCAGUAGUCC
This 425-nucleotide ribosomal RNA is filed under the name uncultured bacterium. RNAcentral's name for it is "partial 16S ribosomal RNA". It matches the Rfam family "Bacterial small subunit ribosomal RNA", at positions 354 to 796 of the family's 1533-position model. The record is from RNAcentral.